Onthophagus taurus is the source of this 1518-nucleotide non-coding RNA. Lineage: Eukaryota; Metazoa; Arthropoda; Insecta; Coleoptera; Scarabaeidae. The record is from RefSeq and is a predicted model, not a curated record.
GAUUGUUUAGUUUUUUUAUUGAAAUGUGGGGUUAAUUUAUAGUGUCCGACCGAAAUUUCAAUUUCGGCCUAAAAUAGGAAUUUCGGUCAAGCUUUUAAACAAUUUAAAAAGUGAAAAAUAUUUUAGAAAGUUUGUUAAUGCCAAAAACAUAUGACAAAGUAAAGACCAAGGUCAUGAAUUUGGUUGAUAAAUAUACAUGGAUAAGUGCCACUACACAUAUAUGGUUCACAAAGAUUGAAUAUGGUAUUGGGCGGAACGGUAUUAAAUUAGGACCUUGCUUAUAUUGAACAAAAAAUAACUGAAAUGGUGAACGACUGGAAUAUCAGAAAGAAGCUGUUCAUAAUUAUACAUGGUAAUGCAGCCAAUAUGGUAAGUGUGGUACAUACUCUGAAAUUAGUCAUAAAAGAUGUUUUGUUUGAAAAUGAGCGGAACAAAAUUUUAGUACAUAACUGUAGAAAAAUUGUAGGCAAUCUUCAGAGUGGACUUCUGAUUCAUUGUUUGCUGUAAAACAUAGAAAUCAGGUGGAAUAGCACCUACUUAAUGCUGCAGCGUCUUGUAGAGCAAAAAAGGGCAAUAAAUUUCUAUGCCAUUAAGCAUGGAGGUAUACCUACACUCUCCUGUACUGACUGGAAACAUAUUGAAAAUUUAAUAAAUGUGCUAAAAUAUUUUUAUGAGGCUACAACACUCGACAUAUCCUCUGAUAGUGCCCGUAUUUCGAUUAUUAUACCAUUAUUAGCUGUAUUAAACAAUAAACUACAACUUCAAAACGAAAAGGAAAAUGAAUUACUGAAGUAAAAAGAACAACUACGUUACUCGACCCAAGAUUUAAAACCAAAUACAGUAAAGACCGGUUAUAACGAGUAUGCUUUAUAACGAGCACCUGCUCUAUAACGAGCAAGCUUCCAAGUCCCGUGAAAAAUCCUAUCCUUACAAUGUAAAAAAUCUCGGUUAUAACGCGUGCUCGGUUAUAACGAGAGUUCGGUUAUAACGAGAGCUCGGUUGUAGUUUUGCGUGUUUUGUACCGUUUAUAACGAGCGAAUGACGUAAAAAUCUGGUGACGUCGCGACGCGCCAUUUAGGCACCAUGUACAGGCAGCAUCGGCAGUUCAGUUUAUCGCUAGAUUUACGUGAACUUGUAUCUAUACAUCGUUACAAAAAUCGUCAUAUUAACAACUUAGAAUGCGUACUUGCGUACUUUUCGCCAAAUUCAACUUCCGUCUUACAACCGAUGGACCAAGGCAUAAUUAAAUCAAUGAAAACGUUUUACCGACAAAAGUUAUUGUUCAAGUUAGUAGAAGCUAUGGAUCUGAAUGAAAAAUUAAAAAUUGAUAUUUUAGAUGCCAUAAUAAUGCUAAACAGCGCAUGGAUAAAUGUUAAAAAAGAAACAAUAAUGAAUUGCUUUCGUCAUGCAUUCGGAAAUCUUGCAGAGAGUUUUAGCGAGGAAGAUGAAAUUCCCUUAGCUCAAUUAAUUACGCGUAUCUCUGUGGAAGAAAAUCUUUCUAGUUGGGCAGAGAAAAAC